CCCCCGCCCCCAGCCCAACAGGGAGCUCUCUGGAAACAUGGCUACAGAACAUGUUAAUGGAAAUGGUACUGAAGAGCCCAUGGAUACUAGUUCUGCAGUUGUCCAUUCAGAAAAUUUUCAGACGUUGCUUGAUGCUGGUUUACCACAUAAAAUUGCUGAAAAACUAGAUGAAAUUUAUGUUGCAGGGCUAGUUGCACAUAGUGAUUUAGUUGAAAGAGCUAUUGAAGCUUUAAAAGAAUUCAAUGAAGACGGUGCAUUGGCAGUUCUUCAACAGUUAAAGACAGUGAUCUCUCUCAUGUUCAGAACAAAAGUGCCUUUUUAUGUGGAGACAUGAAGACUUAUAGGCAGAGAGAAAAACAAGGGACCAAAGUAGCAGAUUCUAGUAAAGGACCAGAUGAGGCAAAAAUUAAGGCACUCUUGGAAAGAACAGGCUACACACUUGAUGUGACCACUGGACAGAGGAAGUAUGGAGGACCACCUCCAGAUUCCGUUUAUUCAAGUCAGCAGCCUUCUGUUGGCACUGAGAUAUUUGUGGGAAAGAUCCCAAGAGAUGUAUUUGAGGAUGAACUUGUUCCAUUAUUUGAGAAAGCUGGAUCUAUAUGGGAUCAUCGUCUAAUGAUGGAUCCACUCACUGGUCUCAAUAGAGGUUAUGCGUUUGUCACUUUUUGUACAAAAGAAGCAGCUCAGGAGGCUGUUAAACUGUAUAAUAAUCAUGAAAUUCGUUCUGGAAAACACAUUGGUGUCUGCAUCUCAGUUGCCAACAAUAGGCUUUUUGUGGGCUCUAUUCCUAAGAGUAAAACCAAGGAACAGAUUCUUGAAGAAUUUAGCAAAGUAACAGAGGGUCUUACAGACGUCAUUUUAUACCACCAAUCGGAUGACAAGAAAAGAAAACAGAGGCUUUUGCUUUCUUGAAUAUGAAGAUCACAAAACAGCUGCCCAGGCAAGGCGUAGGUUAAUGAGUGGUAAAGUCAAGGUCUGGGGGAAUGUUGGAACUGUUGAAUGGGCUGAUCCUAUGGAAGAUCCUGAUCCUGAGGUUAUGGCAAAGGUAAAAGUGCUGUUUGUACACAACCUUGCCAAUACUGUAACAGAAGAGAUUUUAGAAAAGGCAUUUAGUCAGUUUGGGAAACUGGAACGAGUGAAGAAGUUAAAAGAUUAUGCAUUCAUUCAUUUUGGUGAGUGAGAUGGUGCUGUCAAGGCUAUGGAAGAAAUGAAUGGCAAAGACUUGGAGGGAGAAAAUACUGAAAUUGUUUUUGCCAAGCCACCAGAUCAGAAAAGGAAAGAAAGAAAAGCUCAGAGGCAAGCAGCAAAAAAAUCAAAUGUAUGACGAUUACUACUAUUAUGGUCCAUCUUAUAUGCCCCCUCCAACAAGAGGUCGAGGGUGUGGAGGUAGAGGUGGUUAUGAAUAUCCUCCAGAUUAUUACGGAUAUGAAGAUUAUUAUGAUUAUUAUGGCUAUGAUUACCAUAACUAUUGUGGUGGAUAUGAAGAUCCAUACUAUGGUUAUGAAGAUUUUCAAGUUGGAGCUAGAGGAAGGCGUGGUAGAGGAGCAAGGGGUGCUGCUCCAUCCAGAGGUCGUGGGGCUGCUCCUCCCCGUGGUAGAGCUGGUUAUUCACAGAGAGGAGGUCCUGGAUCAGCAAGAGGCGUUCGAGGUGUGAGAGGAGGUGCCCAACAACAAAGGGGCCGCGGGCAGGGAAAAGGGUUCCAGGCUGGUCCUGACCUGUUACAGUGA
RNA transcript from Nomascus leucogenys (northern white-cheeked gibbon), 1727 nucleotides. It is a transcript of the gene named heterogeneous nuclear ribonucleoprotein Q pseudogene, with no coding region annotated. The record is from RefSeq and is a predicted model, not a curated record. Lineage: Eukaryota; Metazoa; Chordata; Mammalia; Primates; Hylobatidae. The transcript has a single exon.